Molecule: long non-coding RNA, 808 nt
Filed under: Homo sapiens (human)
Lineage: Eukaryota; Metazoa; Chordata; Mammalia; Primates; Hominidae
Description: HSALNT0329166
Source: RNAcentral
UCAAAGCAAGCGGCAAGUUUUAGCAACAAUGCUGUUAUUCCAGUUUAUAUGAGUCACAUGUCCAAAACCUUGUAUAAAUCUGAAGUUUUUCCCAUAAACACUUAUGCCCAGAAAAUAUGGUAAGCUAUGUUAACAAGCCAUAUUAGAUAUCAAGCAUUAAUAUGGAAAUAAACCAGGUAACUCCUGUGUAAUUGAUCUUUGUGGGGACUUGGAGGAGGGGAGGUGAAUCUAAACUAGGUUUAGUGUGUGCUAAACUUAAUUAAUGGUUAACUAAAUUCAUUCAAAGAUAUCUGUAACUUGUGGUCUGAUAGUGCUGGUUUUUGGAUAUGAAUUUGUCAUUAAGACUACCUGGGCUGACUCUCUUUUCGGACUCAGCCCACCUGCACCCAGGUGAAAUAAACAGCUUUAUUGCUCACACAAAGCCUGUUUGGUGGUCUCUUCACAUGGACGCGCAUGAAAUUUGGUGCCGUGACUCGGAUCGGGGGACCUCCCUUGGGAGAUCAAUCCCCUGUCCUCCUGCUCUUUGCUCCGUGAGAAACAUCCACCUAUGGCCUCAGGUCCUCAGACCGACCAGCCCAAGAAACAUCUCACCAAUUUCAAAUCCGGCAUUGGGCUCUCACCAUUGGCCAAGAUUCCCUGCCCCGGUGAGGCCGGAAGCAGUUCAGACACCUGACUUCUGGCAACAUGUGAGCCUGACCCAAGCAGAUCACUGGUGACCAGUAAAUAUUGAAGCUCCAAGAGUAUUUUCCAAAAGAAGAGCAAGGGUUCAAGGCUAGGCUGCUCCAUCUGCACCACAGGCUCCUCAAAG